CCUACGGGCGGCAGCAGUGGGGAAUAUUGGACAGUGGGGGCAACCCUGAUCCAGCCAUGCCGCGUGUGUGAAGAAGGCCCUCGGGUUGUAAAGCACUUUCAGUGAGGAAGAACGCCUGGUGGUUAAUACCCAUCAGGAAAGACAUCACUCACAGAAGAAGCACCGGCUAACUCCGUGCCAGCAGCCGCGGUAAUACGGAGGGUGCGAGCGUUAAUCGGAAUUACUGGGCGUAAAGCGCGCGUAGGUGGCUUGAUAAGCCGGUUGUGAAAGCCCCGGGCUCAACCUGGGAACGGCAUCCGGAACUGUCAAGCUAGAGUGCAGGAGAGGAAGGUAGAAUUCCCGGUGUAGCGGUGAAAUGCGUAGAGAUCGGGAGGAAUACCAGUGGCGAAGGCGGCCUUCUGGACUGACACUGACACUGAGGUGCGAAAGCGUGGGUAGCAAACAGGAUUAGAUACCCUUGUAGUC
This 465-nucleotide ribosomal RNA is filed under the name Vreelandella stevensii. Its description in RNAcentral is "partial 16S ribosomal RNA". It matches the Rfam family "Bacterial small subunit ribosomal RNA", at positions 338 to 795 of the family's 1533-position model. Lineage: Bacteria; Pseudomonadati; Pseudomonadota; Gammaproteobacteria; Oceanospirillales; Halomonadaceae. The record is from RNAcentral.